UACAGAGGGUGCAAGCGUUAAUCGGAAUUACUGGGCGUAAAGCGCAUGUAGGUGGAUGAAUAAGUUUGAUGUGAAAUCCCUGGGCUUAACCUGGGAAUGGCGUUGAAGACUGUUGAUCUGGAGUUUGACAGAGGGUCGUGGAAUUUCCGGUGUAGCGGUGGAAUGCGCAGAUAUCAGGAGGAACACCAAUAGCGAAGGCAGCUCGCUGGGACGUUACUGACACUAAGGCGCGAAAGCGUGGGGAGCGAACAGG
RNAcentral lists this ribosomal RNA (253 nucleotides) under uncultured bacterium. RNAcentral describes it as "partial 16S ribosomal RNA". It matches the Rfam family "Bacterial small subunit ribosomal RNA", at positions 524 to 776 of the family's 1533-position model. The record is from RNAcentral.